RNAcentral lists this ribosomal RNA (829 nucleotides) under Levantina sp. 1 MTN-2021. RNAcentral's name for it is "partial large subunit ribosomal RNA". Lineage: Eukaryota; Metazoa; Mollusca; Gastropoda; Stylommatophora; Helicidae. The record is from RNAcentral.
AUGAUUACCUUUUGCAUAAUGGGUUUAUUAGAUAGUUUAUAUUUACUACUACCACGAAUAGGAGUGAGCUAAAUAUACAUAUAUAUUAGUAUAACUUAUACGUUGUAUAGUAGAAGCUAAUGUAUAUUUAGGGGUGAUAGGCUUACCAACCUCUUUGAUAUCUUGUUAUGUAAGAAAUAUAUUUAGUAUAAUUACACACUAAGAAAGUUAAGCUUAUUAGUUAGUAUAAAUUGAAUUUAUUAAUUUAAGUAUAGUAUAAUAACUAACUAUACAUUAUCUUUUAAUAUAAAAUAUUGGUUAUUAUAUUUAAUUAUUACAUUAAUAGUUAUUUUGUUGUUAUUGAAUAAUGUAAAUAUUAGUAGUUUAUAUAAAUACAUUAAAGGAACUCGGCAAUAAUGUUGCUCAACUGUUUACCAAAAACAUAACUACAUGAAAUAGUAUGUAGCUAUUUCUGCUCCAUGAUAUGUUAAAUAGCCGCAGUACUCUGACUGUGCAAAGGUAGCAUAAUCAAUUGACUUCUAAUUAAAGUCUGGAAUGAAUGAACAUAUGGGUAACAACUAUCUUAAUGUAUUAAUGUUAACUUUGUAAGUAAGUGUAAAUACUUACUAAUGUAAAAAAGACGAGAAGACCCUAGAAGCUUAAUAAUGUUUUUGUUGGGGCGACAGAAUUACAAUUAACUAAUUUUAAUUACUUGAAGGCAUACAGUAAGAGUAAGCUACUCUAGGGAUAACAGCAUAAUUUUAAUAGUUUGUGACCUCGAUGUUGGAUUAGGUAUGUUAUUCUUUAGAAGAGGAUAAUAAGUGCUCUGUUCGAGCAAGGACACCUACAU